RNAcentral lists this ribosomal RNA (234 nucleotides) under uncultured bacterium. RNAcentral's name for it is "partial 16S ribosomal RNA". It matches the Rfam family "Bacterial small subunit ribosomal RNA", at positions 118 to 354 of the family's 1533-position model. The record is from RNAcentral.
UGAGCAAUCUGCCCUUCUCUUCGGAAUAAGCGUGGGAAACCGCGUCUAAUGCCGAAUACGACCUCCUUUCGCAUGAUCGGAGGUGGAAAGCUCCGGCGGAGAAGGAUGAGCUCGCGGCCUAUCAGCUAGUUGGUGUGGGUAACGCCACCAAGGCGACGACGGGUAGCCGGCCUGAGAGGGUGACCGGCCACACUGGGACUGAGACACGGCCCAGACUCCUACGGGAGCAGCAGG